Molecule: ribosomal RNA, 253 nt
Filed under: uncultured bacterium
Lineage: Bacteria
Description: partial 16S ribosomal RNA
Rfam family: Bacterial small subunit ribosomal RNA
Source: RNAcentral
UACGAAGGCGGCAAGCGUUGUUCGGAUUCACUGGGCGUACAGGGAGCGUAGGCGGUUAGGUAAGCCCUCCGUGAAAUCUCCGGGCCUAACCCGGAAAGUGCAGAGGGGACUGCUUGGCUAGAGGAUGGGAGAGGAGCGCGGAAUUCCCGGUGUAGCGGUGAAAUGCGUAGAGAUCGGGAGGAAGGCCGGUGGCGAAGGCGGCGGCCUGGAACAUUUCUGACGAUGAGGCUCGAAAGCGUGGGGAGCAAACAGG